Molecule: long non-coding RNA, 366 nt
Organism: Pipra filicauda (Wire-tailed manakin)
Lineage: Eukaryota; Metazoa; Chordata; Aves; Passeriformes; Pipridae
Exons: 3
Source: RefSeq, a predicted model, not a curated record
GGUGGAAAACAAACACAAAGACUGGUUAUUCUGAGACACAAAUGUCACCAAGAUGGACUUUCACAGCUCCACCUGAGCAAACACUGCCUGGCUGUGAACUCGAAGAACUGCUGGGUUCUGCAGAACCUUAUCUGCUGUAACAUCAGCCAAGGCAUUGCCUGGGAGGCACCCACAUCAACAACCAUGAGCCAGCAGAACAGCUCCAACUCAGACUUCAGGAGAGAAGCACGAGAGCUCGGCUUGGUGAGGAAAUUGAGGCCCAUUCAUUCCCCGACACUGAAUUCCUAAUCCUGGUGAGACCUGCCGGGAGGAUUCCCCCCGGUCCUUAGUUUGCAGAUAUUCCCAGCUGGAGACUCGUCCUGCCUG